Molecule: transfer RNA, 73 nt
Filed under: Planctomycetales bacterium
Lineage: Bacteria; Pseudomonadati; Planctomycetota; Planctomycetia; Planctomycetales
Also listed under: 1 other name
Description: tRNA-Ala
Rfam family: tRNA
About the family: Transfer RNA (tRNA) molecules are approximately 80 nucleotides in length. Their secondary structure includes four short double-helical elements and three loops (D, anti-codon, and T loops).
Source: RNAcentral
GGGGCGGUAGCUCAAUUGGGAGAGCACCUCGUUCGCAAUGAGGAGGUUGAGGGUUCGAUCCCCUUCCGCUCCA